ACUGUGGUAGGGUCUUGUGUGAGAUACCAUUGAACUCAGCAGGGUGUUACCUUUUUAUUGGUGAGGAUUUGCGGUGUCUGAGUGCAGCGCAAAUGCACGGUCGCAAGGAGCAGCAUCCGCCAGUAACACCGACGUGCGCAGAGGCGCGAGGACCCGUCCAACGCUGCUUGCAGCUUUAAUUCCAUAAUAUUUUCUUUAAAAC
Long non-coding RNA from Etheostoma spectabile (orangethroat darter), 202 nucleotides. RefSeq lists it as uncharacterized. The record is from RefSeq and is a predicted model, not a curated record. NCBI's taxonomy places the organism in Eukaryota, Metazoa, Chordata, Actinopteri, Perciformes, Percidae. The transcript is spliced from 3 exons.